GAUUGUAUAGCUUAGUGGUAAGAUGCCUGUCUCACAAGCAGGCGAUCCCGGGUUCGAUCCCCGGUGUGGGCU
This 72-nucleotide transfer RNA is filed under the name Ixodes scapularis (black-legged tick). It matches the Rfam family "tRNA". From Rfam's summary of the family: Transfer RNA (tRNA) molecules are approximately 80 nucleotides in length. Lineage: Eukaryota; Metazoa; Arthropoda; Arachnida; Ixodida; Ixodidae. The record is from Rfam by way of RNAcentral.